This 481-nucleotide ribosomal RNA is filed under the name uncultured bacterium. RNAcentral's name for it is "partial 16S ribosomal RNA". It matches the Rfam family "Bacterial small subunit ribosomal RNA", at positions 28 to 507 of the family's 1533-position model. The record is from RNAcentral.
GAUGAACGCUGGCGGCGUGCUUAACACAUGCAAGUCGAACGAAACACUUUAUUUGAUUUCCUUCGGGACUGAUUAUUUUGUGACUGAGUGGCGGACGGGUCAGUAACUCGUGGUUAACCUGCCUUGUACAGGGGGAUCACAGUUGGAAACGGCUGCUAAUACCGCAUAGGCGCCCAGCAUCGCUUGAUGCAGUGUGGAAAACUCGGGUGGGAUAAGAUGGACCCGCGUUGGAUUAGCUAGUCGGUGAGGUAACGGCCCACCAAGGCGACGAUCCAUAGCCGAGCUGAGAGGGUGACCGGCCACAUUGGGGCUGAGACACGGCCCAAACUCCUACGGGAGGGAGCAGAGGGGAAUAUUGCACAAUGGGCGAAAGCCUGAUGCAGCGACGCCGGGUGAGCGAAGAAGUAUUUCGGUAUGUAAAGCUCUAUCAGCAGGGAAGAUAAUGACGGUACCUGACUAAGAAGCACCGGCUAAAUACGUG